AGGACGAACGCUGGCGGCGUGCUUAACACAUGCAAGUCGAACGGUGACCCUCGGAGCUUGCUUCGGGGUGAUCAGUGGCGAACGGGUGAGUAACACGUGAGUAACCUGCCCCAGACUCUGGGAUAACCCCGGGAAACCGGAGCUAAUACCGGAUACGACACGGAGAGGCAUCUCUACCGUGUGGAAAGUUUUUCGGUCUGGGAUGGACUCGCGGCCUAUCAGCUUGUUGGUGAGGUAAUGGCUCACCAAGGCGACGACGGGUAGCCGGCCUGAGAGGGCGACCGGCCACACUGGGACUGAGACACGGCCCAGACUCCUACGGGAGGCAGCAGUGGGGGAAUAUUGCACAAUGGGCGAAAGCCUGAUGCAGCGACGCCGCGUGAGGGAUGAAGGCCUUCGGGUGUAAACCGUCUUUCAGCAGGGAGAAGCGAAGUGACGGUACCUGCAGAAGAAGCACCGGCUAACUACGCGCCAGCAGCCGCGGU
Molecule: ribosomal RNA, 485 nt
Filed under: uncultured bacterium
Lineage: Bacteria
Description: SSU rRNA
Rfam family: Bacterial small subunit ribosomal RNA
Source: RNAcentral